This 1083-nucleotide unclassified non-coding RNA is filed under the name Hevea brasiliensis (rubber tree). Lineage: Eukaryota; Viridiplantae; Streptophyta; Magnoliopsida; Malpighiales; Euphorbiaceae. The record is from RNAcentral.
AAAUCAGAUAAAGAUAAGAAUUUUCUAUAUAUAUUAUCUUAGAUCCACGAUGGAUCAGGUAUAGGUAAAAAUUUUCUUGUAUAUAUUAGCAUGAUUAAUGUCCUAAACAUUUUUUGGAUCAUACCCUUGAUUACUUGUGUAAUUUUUAAUGUAUAUUUUGCUGAAUCCCUCAUUAAAAAAAAUAAAAUUAACCAAUUAAAUAAAUUUGUGAAAAGUAUAUUCACUAUUUCUAAAUAUUUGAUAGUUCAUCAUUUUUAAUCAAAGAAAAAGGGGAAAAGAAGAUGACAUAAAACAUCUAUGCUUUGCUAAUUCCAAAAUGAUAUCCUUAAGAAAAUGUAGACAACUCAAAAAAACAUGUAGAUAAUAAUAUGUUGAAUUGUCUUAACUCGUUCUUGCAGCAAACAAGCUAUGCAGACAUGUUGGAUUUGGCAGUGCAGCACAUCAAAGUCCUUCAAAAUGAAGUUAAGGUGUGUAAACGUUCAAUGAUCAAAAACAAAUGGAGGAAAAAUAAGAGAGAAACAAAUGAAUUUGCCUAAAUGCAUCUGUUAUAUCUCUUGCAGUUAAAUCAGUAUUUGCUCGCUGCUGAUACAAUUAUAUUGCUGGUCUUCCUUUAAUUUUUGCUUCAUCUAUCUUGCAGAAACUACACGAUGAAUUGGAAAACUGUACAUGCGGAUGCAGGCCAACCACGUGACAGUCAUUUUGGCUAACUGGGAUUUUCAUGAAACAAGUUUUUGAUCCAAGGAUUCUGAAGGCAAGGGGACUCUAGCCAAGGCUAGCUAAUUUUGUUAUUGCACCAAGUUUAACUUAAUAAUGCAAAGUAGAAGUUUAGAUACUCUAAAUUGUAUAUAAAGAAUUUACAUGGGUUAAUUUGUUGUAACUCCGAAAAAAAAAUGUGUGUAAAAUGAUUUUCAAUUUCCACUUCUUUGAGCAGCCUGUGAAAAUGCUUUGGUUUUUUAAUUCAGGUGGCCUUUGAAAAUGAAAAUUGCAUGUAUUUCAUUACUGGUUCAGCAUUUGUGUUAUUACUUACUUCACUAGCAUCAAUUGCUUAUAGCGCAACCCUCCAACACUCGGGGCCAAGCUUAG